UCGUCGUCGGCGUCGUCGGACAACUCCGAGCGCUCCAAUGCAGGGAGCAAGCCGGCCAAGGUCGUGGCCGGGUUGUCAGUUCUUCCGCCUCCCGCGCCUCCUCCUCCUCCGCCGCCGCCAAUGCCGGCGCCGUACAAAUCCAGGUCCUACUUCUCUGGCUCGUCGCGCGCCUCGCCGGCGAACUCCUCAUCCAGUGACUCCUUGUCCGCGCCAUCGACGCCGACCUACUCUUCGGACACUGCGGCAUCACGAAGCCGCGUGCCGGAGCUCUCGAAGCUCCCGCCGAUACCCG
This 292-nucleotide long non-coding RNA is filed under the name Setaria italica (foxtail millet). RNAcentral describes it as "long non-coding RNA (SITA_LNC001948)". Lineage: Eukaryota; Viridiplantae; Streptophyta; Magnoliopsida; Poales; Poaceae. The record is from RNAcentral.